GAUAUAUGCCACUCACGUGGAUAACUGUGGUAAUUCUAGAGCUAAUACAUGCAAACAAGUCCCGACCAGCGAUGGCGAGGACGCUUUUAUUGGAUCAAAACCUUUCGCCCGGCCUGCCCGGGCGUCGUCUUGAUGACUCUAGAUAACACCACAGAUCGCACGGUCACAGUACCGGUGACAUAUCCUUCAAAUG
Molecule: ribosomal RNA, 193 nt
Filed under: Sphictyrtus pretiosus
Lineage: Eukaryota; Metazoa; Arthropoda; Insecta; Hemiptera; Coreidae
Description: partial small subunit ribosomal RNA
Rfam family: Eukaryotic small subunit ribosomal RNA
Source: RNAcentral